GACGAACGCUGGCGGCGUGCUUAACACAUGCAAGUCGAGCGGUAAGGCCCUUUCGGGGGUACACGAGCGGCGAACGGGUGAGUAACACGCGGGUGACCUGCCCUCAGCUCUGGGAUAAGCCUGGGAAACUGGGUCUAAUACUGGAUAUGACUCCACGGUGCAUGUCGUGGGGUGGAAAGCCUUGUGCGGCUGAGGAUGGGCCCGCGGCCUAUCAGCUUGUUGGG
This 224-nucleotide ribosomal RNA is filed under the name uncultured bacterium. RNAcentral describes it as "partial 16S ribosomal RNA". It matches the Rfam family "Bacterial small subunit ribosomal RNA", at positions 28 to 253 of the family's 1533-position model. The record is from RNAcentral.